Long non-coding RNA from Spinacia oleracea (spinach), 838 nucleotides. RefSeq lists it as uncharacterized. The transcript is spliced from 2 exons. The record is from RefSeq and is a predicted model, not a curated record. Lineage: Eukaryota; Viridiplantae; Streptophyta; Magnoliopsida; Caryophyllales; Amaranthaceae.
CAUAUUAUCCAAAAUAACUAUUGAUAUUAAUUUUUAUUGUUUAACAAUGAUACUACUGAGUGCUUUUUUUCUAAAUAAAGUAAAAUAAAUAAAUUAAACUAAUUAAUUAUUAUCCCUCCAAAAAGAUAUUAAUUUUAAUGAUGUGCCAACAAAGAAAGUAAAUAUUUUUUCCCAAAGCGGAAGUUUUUUUUUUUUUUUUUGAUAAAACAAAGCAGGAGAAUUUUGAUAAUCGCGCCUCACAUCUGGUGAAAAUAUAAAGUUCCCAGUUUGUUCCCUCAAGACGACGAACAUGCAAUUCUUCUUCGAUCCUUCAUAGGCACUCCGGCGGACUUGAAGCUGCUGAUGAUUCCACCCCCUCUCAAGCGUCUGCAGCGAUGAAAGGUUUUCCAUUGGGAUUGAAGUAGUCUAUCAUUCUGAAGAAGACCGUACAGGAAAUAUGUUUGGAGAAGCAAGCGUCACAGAUGAGACUUCCAGCAAUUUGGUGCCAAGCAGGUAGUUUGACCUGAUGUUUCUGAAAUGUCAGCUAAACAGGAAGGCAAGGAGCCUGUAUUUGACAGUGUGAAGACUAUUGUAGGAAUGCUGGAAGUAAGCUCCGAGUUUGCACAAAAUGUUACCUUCAACUGAAACAAAAUCCAAAACUCUCUGCCCACUAGCCAUCUUGUUGCCACAACAAUUGCAUAUUUGAUGAUUAAACUAGAUGAUCUAUUAUUCGUGAUUUCAUUCGAAGUUGAUAGCUUUAUUCUUAACAUUCUGAAUGUGUUUGAAUGCUUGAAGCUGAUAGCUUUAUUUGUAGCAUUAUGAUUUGUGUUUGAAUGCUUGAAGCUGGUAGCUUUGUUCA